GGCAAAAUUACAGAACAAAUUACACUUAAACAAGCCAUUCCAGAGCUGCAGCACGCGACAAAGCAGUUAUCAAAUACUUAUAUGAGUUACACACGGCUGCAUUGCCAGUAAUCUUCAACGAUUCAACACACUGAAACCAACGAACAAAAACUAAGAGAAAUGAAUACCAGCAUAACAAAUGGUCGUGGUAGUGGACCACAUAUCCAGUUUGGAUUUGGGGUCUAAUCCCACCUUAAUGGAACAGGAAUCGCGAUGAAUGUGUCCUUUUUUAACGUCCUUGUGUUGCAGCUGCCGCUAAUCUCUGCCAUCUUAGUUCUCGCUGCUCUUCCAGUUCAGUGGCCCGGGCUGCUUUCUCAGAAUACUGUCUUUGGCACUCAUCAAACAGAUCAGCAUCCAUUUCCAUGAACAUUUUGCGAACAUUUACAGUCAGCCCAUGGAUAGCCUGAUUCCAAUGAUUAUCUAUGUUCUUUUGCAGAGCAUCAAAAAUGAUCGGGAAAAUGACAUUGCGGUUCUGGGCGAUCAAUCCCACUAUGU
Molecule: unclassified non-coding RNA, 534 nt
Filed under: Hevea brasiliensis (rubber tree)
Lineage: Eukaryota; Viridiplantae; Streptophyta; Magnoliopsida; Malpighiales; Euphorbiaceae
Source: RNAcentral